GACGAACCGUGCGAACGUUGUUCGGAAUCACUGGGCUUAAAGGGAGCGUAGGCGGGCUAUCAAGUCUGGGGUGAAAUCCCGCGGCUCAACCGCGGAACUGCCUCAGAUACUGACGGCCUCGAGGGAGAUAGGGGCAUGCGGAACUGUAGGUGGAGCGGUGAAAUGCGUUGAUAUCUACAGGAACUCCGGUGGCGAAAGCGGCGUGCUGGGGCUUAACUGACGCUGAGGCACGAAAGCCAGGGUAGCGAACGGG
RNAcentral lists this ribosomal RNA (253 nucleotides) under uncultured bacterium. RNAcentral's name for it is "partial 16S ribosomal RNA". It matches the Rfam family "Bacterial small subunit ribosomal RNA", at positions 524 to 776 of the family's 1533-position model. The record is from RNAcentral.